This 2348-nucleotide ribosomal RNA is filed under the name Vibrio parahaemolyticus. RNAcentral describes it as "partial 23S ribosomal RNA". It matches the Rfam family "Bacterial large subunit ribosomal RNA", at positions 613 to 2925 of the family's 2925-position model. The record is from RNAcentral. Lineage: Bacteria; Pseudomonadati; Pseudomonadota; Gammaproteobacteria; Vibrionales; Vibrionaceae.
UAAUGGGUCAGCGACUUAUAUUCAGUGGCAAGGUUAACCAUCUAGGGGAGCCGUAGGGAAACCGAGUCUUAACUGGGCGUUCAGUCUCUGGAUAUAGACCCGAAACCAGGUGAUCUAGCCAUGGGCAGGUUGAAGGUUGAGUAACAUCAACUGGAGGACCGAACCGACUAAUGUUGAAAAAUUAGCGGAUGACUUGUGGCUAGGGGUGAAAGGCCAAUCAAACCUGGAGAUAGCUGGUUCUCCCCGAAAGCUAUUUAGGUAGCGCCUCGGACGAAUACUACUGGGGGUAGAGCACUGUUAAGGCUAGGGGGUCAUCCCGACUUACCAACCCUUUGCAAACUCCGAAUACCAGUAAGUACUAUCCGGGAGACACACGGCGGGUGCUAACGUCCGUCGUGGAGAGGGAAACAACCCAGACCGCCAGCUAAGGUCCCAAAUUACUACUAAGUGGGAAACGAUGUGGGAAGGCUCAGACAGCCAGGAUGUUGGCUUAGAAGCAGCCAUCAUUUAAAGAAAGCGUAAUAGCUCACUGGUCGAGUCGGCCUGCGCGGAAGAUGUAACGGGGCUAAGUAGUAAACCGAAGCUGCGGCAAUAUACUUUUGUAUAUUGGGUAGGGGAGCGUUCUGUAAGCGGUUGAAGGUGUGUGGUAACGCAUGCUGGACGUAUCAGAAGUGCGAAUGCUGACAUGAGUAACGAUAAAGGGGGUGAAAAACCUCCUCGCCGGAAGACCAAGGGUUCCUGUCCAACGUUAAUCGGGGCAGGGUAAGUCGACCCCUAAGGCGAGGCCGAAAGGCGUAGUCGAUGGGAAACGGGUUAAUAUUCCCGUACUUCUUACAAUUGCGAUGGGGGGACGGAGAAGGCUAGGUGGGCCUGGCGACGGUUGUCCAGGUUCAAGUGCGUAGGCUUAAGAGUUAGGUAAAUCCGGCUCUUUCUAAGGCUGAGACACGACGUCGAGCACCUACGGGUGUGAAGUCAUUGAUGCCAUGCUUCCAGGAAAAGCCUCUAAGCUUCAGAUUGUAAGGAAUCGUACCCCAAACCGACACAGGUGGUCGGGUAGAGAAUACCAAGGCGCUUGAGAGAACUCGGGUGAAGGAACUAGGCAAAAUGGUACCGUAACUUCGGGAGAAGGUACGCUCUUGAUGGUGAAGUCCCUUGCGGAUGGAGCUGACGAGAGUCGCAGAUACCAGGUGGCUGCAACUGUUUAUUAAAAACACAGCACUGUGCAAAAUCGUAAGAUGACGUAUACGGUGUGACGCCUGCCCGGUGCCGGAAGGUUAAUUGAUGGGGUUAGACUUCGGUCGAAGCUCUUGAUCGAAGCCCCGGUAAACGGCGGCCGUAACUAUAACGGUCCUAAGGUAGCGAAAUUCCUUGUCGGGUAAGUUCCGACCUGCACGAAUGGCGUAAUGAUGGCCACGCUGUCUCCACCCGAGACUCAGUGAAAUUGAAAUCGCUGUGAAGAUGCAGUGUACCCGCGGCUAGACGGAAAGACCCCGUGAACCUUUACUACAGCUUGGCACUGAACAUUGACCCUACAUGUGUAGGAUAGGUGGGAGGCUUUGAAGCACGUACGCCAGUAUGUGUGGAGCCGUCCUUGAAAUACCACCCUUGUAGUGUUGAUGUUCUAACGUCGACCCCUUAUCGGGGUUGCGGACAGUGCCUGGUGGGUAGUUUGACUGGGGCGGUCUCCUCCCAAAGAGUAACGGAGGAGCACGAAGGUGGGCUAAUCACGGUUGGACAUCGUGAGGUUAGUGCAAUGGCAUAAGCCCGCUUGACUGCGAGAAUGACAAUUCGAGCAGGUGCGAAAGCAGGUCAUAGUGAUCCGGUGGUUCUGAAUGGAAGGGCCAUCGCUCAACGGAUAAAAGGUACUCCGGGGAUAACAGGCUGAUACCGCCCAAGAGUUCAUAUCGACGGCGGUGUUUGGCACCUCGAUGUCGGCUCAUCACAUCCUGGGGCUGAAGUCGGUCCCAAGGGUAUGGCUGUUCGCCAUUUAAAGUGGUACGCGAGCUGGGUUUAGAACGUCGUGAGACAGUUCGGUCCCUAUCUGCCGUGGGCGUUGGAAGAUUGAAGGGGGCUGCUCCUAGUACGAGAGGACCGGAGUGGACGAACCUCUGGUGUUCGGGUUGUGUCGCCAGACGCAUUGCCCGGUAGCUAAGUUCGGAAUCGAUAACCGCUGAAAGCAUCUAAGCGGGAAGCGAGCCCUGAGAUGAGUCUUCCCUGAUACUUUAAGUAUCCUAAAGGGUUGUCGGAGACUACGACGUUGAUAGGUCAGGUGUGUAAGUGCUGUGAGGCAUUGAGCUAACUGAUACUAAUUGCCCGUGAGGCUUAACCAUACAACACCCAAGGGGUUU